UGUUUAGCUUUUCUUCCUCUACGUUGAUACUGGACAGCAGACCAGCGGAGGUUGUUAAAGCUCAGUCUCACACAGUUUUCAGUCCAAAUGCCCAACAGGAGACUGACAGUUGUCCCCUGGAGGUGAUGGAGGUCUUUUCUGUCA
This is a non-coding RNA of Poecilia reticulata (guppy), 144 nucleotides long. The record is from RefSeq and is a predicted model, not a curated record. NCBI's taxonomy places the organism in Eukaryota, Metazoa, Chordata, Actinopteri, Cyprinodontiformes, Poeciliidae.